Molecule: ribosomal RNA, 406 nt
Filed under: uncultured bacterium
Lineage: Bacteria
Description: partial 16S ribosomal RNA
Rfam family: Bacterial small subunit ribosomal RNA
Source: RNAcentral
AUUGAACGCUGGCGGCAGGCCUAACACAUGCAAGUCGAACGAGUGGCGGACGGGUGAGUAAUGUCUGGGAAACUGCCUGAUGGAGGGGGAUAACUACUGGAAACGGUAGCUAAUACCGCAUACCAUCGGAUGUACCCAGAUGGGCUUAGCUAGUAGGUGGGGUAAAGGCUCACCUAGGCGACGAUCCCUAGCUGGUCGGAGAGGAUGACCGGCACAACGGGAAUUGAGACACGGGCCAGACUCCACCGGAAGGCAUCAGUGGGGAUUAGUGCACAAUGGGCGCAAGCCUGAUGAGGCCAUGCCGGGUGUAGGAAUAAGGCCUUCGGGUUGUAAAGUACUUUCAGCGGGGAGGCGUUACCCGCAGAAGAAGCACCGGCUAACUCCGUGCCAGCAGCCGCGGUAAUAC